This 184-nucleotide ribosomal RNA is filed under the name Escherichia coli. RNAcentral describes it as "partial 16S ribosomal RNA". It matches the Rfam family "Bacterial small subunit ribosomal RNA", at positions 1350 to 1533 of the family's 1533-position model. The record is from RNAcentral. Lineage: Bacteria; Pseudomonadati; Pseudomonadota; Gammaproteobacteria; Enterobacterales; Enterobacteriaceae. RNAcentral also lists the same sequence under 4 other names.
CAGAAUGCCACGGUGAAUACGUUCCCGGGCCUUGUACACACCGCCCGUCACACCAUGGGAGUGGGUUGCAAAAGAAGUAGGUAGCUUAACCUUCGGGAGGGCGCUUACCACUUUGUGAUUCAUGACUGGGGUGAAGUCGUAACAAGGUAACCGUAGGGGAACCUGCGGUUGGAUCACCUCCUUA